Haliotis rubra (blacklip abalone) is the source of this 106-nucleotide long non-coding RNA. RefSeq lists it as uncharacterized. The transcript is spliced from 3 exons. The record is from RefSeq and is a predicted model, not a curated record. NCBI's taxonomy places the organism in Eukaryota, Metazoa, Mollusca, Gastropoda, Lepetellida, Haliotidae.
UUUGCUAAUGAUACCUUCAAAAUAAAAUGGAAGCUUUUCAAACAUUGGACAUCGAGAAUAUCGUUAGGGCGACUACUUUUUGACCUUCCUGGUAUGUCUUUAAUAU